GUGCUCACCUUGGCGGCACACACGCCAAAUGCAAACGAUGCAGAGAAGACAAGCAAGAUCCCCAGCCAAUGAUGACAAGCAAAUUCGGGGAGUGUUUCAUAUUUUU
This is a small nuclear RNA of Fukomys damarensis (Damara mole-rat), 106 nucleotides long. The record is from Ensembl. NCBI's taxonomy places the organism in Eukaryota, Metazoa, Chordata, Mammalia, Rodentia, Bathyergidae.